RNAcentral lists this long non-coding RNA (234 nucleotides) under Manacus vitellinus (golden-collared manakin). RNAcentral describes it as "lncRNA (ENSMVIG00005005658.1)". The record is from RNAcentral. Lineage: Eukaryota; Metazoa; Chordata; Aves; Passeriformes; Pipridae.
AAGAUUAAGUUUACCAUUAGCUAUGCAGAAAGUCUCUAAGUGGCUCCUGCCUUGGAAUCAGGUGUUGGGUCUCGCUGCCACUGAGAGCCCGGGGGUGCCCAAGUGCACAGCAUGAACCAGGCACAACAUAUCCCUCAGACAACCAGAGCAGUGCAGAGCCCUCGUCAUCGGAAAAUAAGAACUUUCACUACUCUCAAGAUUAAUGAUAACAUCACCAGUUGUUCUGCAACAUGG